Molecule: ribosomal RNA, 253 nt
Filed under: uncultured bacterium
Lineage: Bacteria
Description: partial 16S ribosomal RNA
Rfam family: Bacterial small subunit ribosomal RNA
Source: RNAcentral
UACGUAGGUGGCAAGCGUUAUCCGGAUUUAUUGGGCGUAAAGGGAACGCAGGCGGUCUUUUAAGUCUGAUGUGAAAGCCUUCGGCUUAACCGGAGUAGUGCAUUGGAAACUGGGAGACUUGAGUGCAGAAGAGGAGAGUGGAACUCCAUGUGUAGCGGUGAAAUGCGUAGAUAUAUGGAAGAACACCAGUGUCGAAAGCGGCUCUCUGGUCUGUAACUGACGCUGAGGUUCGAAAGCGUGGGUAGCAAACAGG